GACGAACGCUGGCGGCGUGCUUAACACAUGCAAGUCGAACGGAAAGGCCCUGCUUUUGCGGGGUGCUCGAGUGGCGAACGGGUGAGUAACACGUGAGUAACCUGCCCUUGACUUUGGGAUAACUUCAGGAAACUGGGGCUAAUACCGGAUAGGAGCUCCUGCUGCAUGGUGAGGGUUGGAAAGUUUCGGCGGUUGGGGAUGGACUCGCGGCUUAUCAGCUUGUUGGUGGGGUAGUGGCUUACCAAGGCUUUGACGGGUAGCCGGCCUGAGAGGGUGACCGGCCACAUUGGGACUGAGAUACGGCCCAGACUCCUACGGGAGGCAGCAGUGGGGAAUAUUGCACAAUGGGCGGAAGCCUGAUGCAGCAACGCCGCGUGCGGGAUGACGGCCUUCGGGUUGUAAACCGCUUUCGCCUGUGACGAAGCGUGAGUGACGGUAAUGGGUAAAGAAGCACCGGCUAACUACGUG
RNAcentral lists this ribosomal RNA (468 nucleotides) under uncultured bacterium. RNAcentral's name for it is "partial 16S ribosomal RNA". It matches the Rfam family "Bacterial small subunit ribosomal RNA", at positions 28 to 507 of the family's 1533-position model. The record is from RNAcentral.